RNAcentral lists this non-coding RNA (28 nucleotides) under Mus musculus (house mouse). The record is from RNAcentral. Lineage: Eukaryota; Metazoa; Chordata; Mammalia; Rodentia; Muridae.
UGGGACCUUCGGACUGGGCCUCCUGCUA